Long non-coding RNA from Marmota monax (woodchuck), 16141 nucleotides. RefSeq lists it as uncharacterized. The transcript is spliced from 6 exons. NCBI's taxonomy places the organism in Eukaryota, Metazoa, Chordata, Mammalia, Rodentia, Sciuridae. The record is from RefSeq and is a predicted model, not a curated record.
UAGGUAAUUCAAUUUUCUUUGGAUUAGCAUAAUAUAUAUUUUCCUCUACCUUUUCUCUUAACCAUUUUGUAUUCUUAAGUGUUAUAUGCUUAUCUUGUGAACACUAAAUAAUUAAAAAACCCAUUCAGUCUGGCAAUCUUUGUUUUUUAUUUGGAGUGUUUAGUCCAUUCAUAUUUAGUAUAACUCCUGUUAUAUCUGUAUUUAAAUACCCUAUGCAAUUGAGUGCUUUUCUUUUAAAUCUUGGGUUUUAUUUUUAUAGUUCUGGGGAUUGAACCCAGGACCUUGUGCAUGUUAGGUAGGUGCUGUAUCACUGUAUUACAAACCUAGUCCCUUAGUUAGUGUUUUCUAUUUGUCCCAUCUAAAUUUUAUGAUCAUGUUUCUCUAACUUUAUUGCUUAUUUUUAAAUUUUUAAUGUAUUUUUCUAGUUGUAGGUGGACACAAUACCUUUAUUUUAUUUUUAUGUGGUGCUGACGACCGAACCCAGUGCCUCACGUGUGCUAGGUGAGCACUCUACCACUGAGCCCCAGCCCCAGCCCCCUUAAUUGCUUAUUUUAGAUUGAUUUUUAAAGCAUCACACUUACUUUAUUUCUUUGGAAAUUGCAUAUUCUUUUUACUACUCUUUUGGUUAUGAGCCUAAGAUUACAGUAUGUAUUCUUAUAUCAAUGGGUACUUUUUACUCUUCAGGCAUUUGAAGAAUCUGGACCACUCUUCAUUUACUUUCCUCAAAUUUUAUAUUAUCAUCAUGCAUUUUAAACAAUAUAUGUUUUUUGAAUAUAUUUUUUAGUUAUACAUGGACACAACAUCUUUUAUUUCAUUUUUAUGCAGUGCUGAGGAUUGAACCCAGUGCCUGAUGCAUGCCAAGCAAGCCACUCUACCACUGAGCCAAAAACCCAGCCCUAAGCAAUGAUCUUGCAGUGAUGCCCAGGUUGACCUCAAAUUCCCAGGCUCAUGGGAUCCUCCUGCCUCAGCCUCCUGAGUAGCUGGGAUUACAGCUCACAGCUUUGAAGCGCCAGAAAUCCAGUCUGGAGGGAGAUGGGUGGUGUCUUCACCAUCUUGUGCUUCCUGCUGGAGUUUCCUCGUGCUCCCGGGCUUCUUGUCCUCAGCCGUGCUCUGCUGUGGUUCAAAACAAACUAGAAGGCAGAGAUUAAAGCAAUGCAAGUCAAACACAGUCUGGUCCACAGAGGGCCACUGGGGAUGUGUGGGGAUCCAAACUCCUGGGUUGCUUUCAACAGACCGAGAAUCACUGGUUGGGAACGUGGAUCUGACUGAGCAAUGGGAGCCUGGCCUUUGGGAGCUGGCCUGUGCAUGCCCUGCGUGCGUGGGAGACAUGGGACUUGUCCUUCUUUGAGGCUCCCUGGCAUAGACUCCUUGCUCGCCAUCACUUUUUCAUUUUCUAUUGCCCACAACGAAGUUCAGUUUCCAAGACCAUCGCCCAACUUAUAUGCACCCACGAGGUUUGGGAUUGGUGUUAACACUAUAGCUGCCUGAGUAGCUACUUUGGCAGGCUAAGGUUCUGACCCUAUGUUACCCGUCCCUGUCUUUGGGACUGGAGGCUGAAUUCCAUGCCCCACCCAUUGGGGGCACUGCAGGCUCCAGGGUCCUGAGCCCCUGCCUGGGCUGAGAGGUAGGCUGCGGGGACAGGAGGGGCUGAUGCUGGCCUCAUGCCAUCAGGGUCAAGGGCCAGUGGUGCACACUUUGUCUCCUAUCCUGGGGUCAGCCAGGCCUGCACGGACUCAUCCUCAGCCUAUAUCUGCAGUAUAUGCCUCUGAAGUUUCCAUCAAUAGGGGGCGGCUGGGUAUACAAUGAUGAGGAAGGGUAUAGGCUCCGGGGAAGACCCAGGCACCCAAACCAGCACGAGUAUCAGGUCACUUCCCUUUUCCUCCCCCACAUGUGCCUUUCUGGUCUGUUGCACUGGGAGCCAGCUGCUAGCAGCCUGGGAAGGGCUGAGGUGCUCUCAGAGGCCAGCGUCUCCACAGGGAAGUGUUCCUUAUUCGCCCCUGGUAGGAAUGGCCAGGGAAGCCCAACAGAGAGACCGAGAGGGAUCUUCUCCCAUGUGCUCUCCCUCAUGGUGAGAAUCCCAUCCCGAAUGCAGGCAGGGUCCCCAUGCUGCCACCCCAGCUCCUGCCUUGUUGUGAGGAUGGUGCAGAGGGCUGUGGAGCCAGGGUUAGCUGGGUGGGGAGGGCUGCUGGAGGACUUGCUCAAGCAGGCUGCAGCAAGGCCUUGGGCACGGUGUGGUUACCUCACACCCAGGGACCUGCAGGUGCAUGCUGGGCUGUUUCUGGGUUGGCACCCAGACCCUUGGCCCUCACUGCCACACGAAUCUGCCUGGAGGAGCCAGGUGGGUGCUGCUUGCUGACCCUAGCCUGGCCAGGACAGCCUGGGGAGGAGCUGCAACCCAUGGGGUUGAGUGGGCACAGGGCCAUCAGCCAGGCCUACCAGACUCUGGUGAGAAGUCACCUGCCAGGGGCCUGAGGGCUACAGGGAGCCCCUGACCCAACACCCCAGAAGGCAAAGCCCAUCAGAGGUUGAGUUCCAUGGUUCCCCUAAGCUUUCUGUCUCCGGCUGUCCCUAUUAAAGGAGGGACAGUGGUUCAGGCUGCUGAGGUGGGGUGCUCAAGACCUGGCAGCUUGCCCAACAGACAUCCAUUUCUUGAAAAUCUGGAGGCUGGACAUGUAGGACCAGGAUGCCAGAGGGGCUGGGGGCUGUGAGGGCCCUUUUCUGGGGUGCAGAUGGCGCCUUCUAACAGAGUCCUCUCAUGCGAAGGUGAGUGGGGCUGCUCUCUGGGUUCAUGUAUGUAAGGGUCCUAUUUUAGGGUUCCACUCUGUGACCUGUCUGGCUCCCAAAAACCUCACCUCCUAAUACCGACACAUUGGGAGGGGCCAGGUUUCAACAUAUGAAUCUUGGGGUGACACAGACAUUGAGUCCAUGGCAGAACAGGUGCCAUAGACCCAAUACUACUGCAUUUCACUUCUCACAGAAACCCUGCCGGCAGAGGAGGAGACUGGCUCAGAGAGGUGGAGAUGCUGCCUGGUGGGCCAGCGGCCACGGCCGAGUUGGGGGGCUGGCCUAGGGUGGUGCAGAUGCCAGGACCAGUCCCCUCCCAGGGACAGGGAGUGACCUCCUCUGAGAGGACCGGGCUCCUUUCCAGCUGAGAGUGGGCAAGAUCAGCAACUGCUGUGGCCAGGACUCUGUGGGGCAGGGUGUUGGGUGGGGGUCCCAAGGGAAGGCUUUGGCUGGUCCUGUUCGGGAGUCCUCUCUCCCUUUCCUUGGCCACAGGAAGGCUGAGAAUGAAGAGGCAUCACCCACCUCCUUCACUCCUCAGGGAUCCCACAAGACCCAGCUCUUCCAUGCAGCCAUUCGAUCCUUACGCUUUGUGUGACUACUGGCCCCACUACGCUCCUGUGAGAUAUGGCAGCUUACUGCCUCCCUCCCAACAAGCAAGGGACCUGUGCUCUUUUUUGUCCCAGGCUGGUGGCCUGGAACGGGACCCUGUUGAUUCAGAGUGGCUCAUGUACUAAGAGGAAGUUGUGUGGCUGGGUUCCUGCAACAGAGCACCUAAGGCCCAAGAUGUGUGCACGUGUGCCCCGUUGUCCCCAGAGGCUGGCUAUGGUCUGGUGGCAGAGGUUCACUCCCAGGGAGGAAGAAAUCACCAAGUGACAAGUGAUGUUUUGGGUAAAGCCCUUCUUGUUCCUCCCUCACCCACCUGGGGCUCCUAGGCUUCCUGGUGCUUCCCCCUGCUGUUGUUUCACUGGGGAGGGACCAGGGCAGGGAGGGGACAGCUGGGGAAACAUUCCUGAUUCUCUGUGCAUUCCUUUCUUCCUGUCCACUGGUGAUUCCUGAUCUGCUUUGGGGUAGGUAAAUAACUCUUCCCUAUCAACAUCUGACAUCCCCCAAACUCUGUGGCAUGAACCAUCACCCCAGGUUGGCUCUUGGUGUGUGAGGUUCAUCCUAUGGAAUUCUAAGGAAAUCUCUCUCCAUACAGCCUGGUUUUGCAAAUCAAAAGCUCUUUGAUUUUUUUCAGACUGCUUCAGCUAGAGACAGACAAAGUCUACACAAGAGUCUCAAACAGGAUCGCAGCUUGCUGGUUUCAGCAUGCGGGAAGCAAUCCUGCCCCCUGGACAGCAGGGUCCAGGCAGGUUGGCACCCAUUGUUCUGGGGGCAACUGUUCAUCUCAGACUUUAUAAAUGUGCUGACGAUCACCUGAGGGGGGAAACGUUCUGAGUUUGCAAAUGAGCUGGUAUGGGAGCCUUGGCUAGGUCUGGGAAGUCCGGGAAGCAGCCACCUCUUACUGCCUUAGACUGCCACCUUGCUAGGUAUGCAGAAUGAAGGGACUUCUGGAAGGCAGAGACAGCCACUGCGGAGCCCACAAGGGCUACACAGGAGGUGGGCCUGGAGGUGGCUAUGGGGAGAUACUGACCAGGCGCCUAGAAAGAGAGGCAUUUCCAGUGCAAUCAGUGGGAUUGAAGGUGUGGGAGACAGGCGUUCACUGAGUGGCCAGGGCCAGUCUGAUGGCUCUGAGGCUUUGUGUUGGAGCAUGGCAAAAGAGGAGGUCAGAGAGGUGGGCUGGCUGGGCACGGAGUCUUGGAAAGUUGACUGAGGGGUGGUCUGGGCUCACUAAGGAGUGAGCCACAUUCCAGGAGGAAGUUAGGGACAGGUGGAAGUGAGGUGCCAGAGGACAGCGACAGAUGCUGUUAUGGAGGCCCAGCAUGGUGGACUGCAGUGGGCAUGAGGAGGGGAGGGGAGGCCUGAGUGGGCAGCACCCUGUGGGGGAAUCACCAGGUCUCUGGAGCUGACUCUGGAGGUGCAAGGAAGCUUCAGGUCUGUGGGUGGGAAGCCAGCCAGGCUUCAGCAGCACUGGGGAAGCCUGGAGGGGUCCCUGUUGGGCAGCACUGGUGGCACUGCAGGGUGGUGACAUUCAGUAGCCAGCUGGCCCUGGGGGCAUGGAGGCAGCAGAGUGGCCAGGACUGUGGUGACAUAUAGAUUCUGUGCAGGAUGACCCUGCAGGAGGUGAGACUGCAGGUGGAUGGCCUCUGGGGAGGGCGCCUGGAGCAGAGCCAUGGCCCCGGGAAAGCCCAGGGGCAGCCACACUGCCCAAUGCACUGGAACAUCUCAGAGGAACUGGACCUAGGAGAGGAGCACUCUGCCCCUGGGUGACAGCUGGGGCUUUCUCCUGCUCCACCUGCCGAUUUCAGUCUCAUAAGGCAUUUUUCUUAGUGAGCGCAGUGGAGACCAAAGCCUCUCAGAACAGGAGAGUGGGAGCCUGAAGAAGGGCCUUCUGGAUCCCUCCAGGGCCCAGGGCAGUCUUGACGCCACCCCUGUGCCCCCUGACACUGUCCCCCAGGCCUCAUGCCCUGUAGAGGGACAAGGCGAUUUCCCAGGCCGCUCAGGAGUUUAUAUUUUCUUCCUUUCUACUUUUUCUUUUGUUCUAACUAGUUUUACAUGACAGGGGAAUGCAUUUUGACACAUCUUUUUUUUUUAAAUAUUUAUUUAUUUAUUUUAGUUUUCGGCGGACACAACAUCUUUGUUUGUAUGUGGUGUUGAGGAUCGAACCCGGGCCGCACGCAUGCCAGGCAAGCGUGCUACUGCUUGAGCCACAUCCCCAACCCCUUGACACAUCUUAUGUAAAGGGAUAUCAGGGGGUUAUAUUUCUGUCAUCACAGACUCCUAAACAAGUGCUCUCAGGAUGGUGAUUUUUCGGGGUGCACCCCCAGCGGCAGUUGCGUUUCUGGGCUGGUGAUUAAAGAUGGCUAUGCAGGUGGGGGUGGUAGGAUGCAUCCCAUUUUUUCCGCACAAGAUCUUUUCCAACUAAAUGAAUCCUGCGGCUGGCUGCAUACCCUGAGAUCCCCCCUCUCCCAGCAACGAGCCGACCACAGCACCAGGCCUGGACACAGCAGCUUCCCGCCCCAGCCCUCCCGACAGCCAGCAGAAGCCAAUCAGUCAGGGUGGAGAGGUGGCCCUGGGCUGUCUGGCUCUCCUGGCAGUGCUGUUCACAGGCUGGCUGUUGAAGGGACACUCUUUCCUUCGCCCUGCGCCCUCUGAAGGUGAAGACUGGGCUUCCGCCUCCCUGUGAGCACCUGUUCCCUACCGUUCCGACAGUUUGACUAACUCAUCAAGCUUUUUGUGCAGCACAUACUCUGGCAGGAACAGAAGCAGCAUGACACUCGCUGGAUACGGGCUGCGCAAGCACCACCACGUGCUCCCAGAGCUAGGCCAGCAUCCUGGGCGUAGCUGAUUGGCAUUCUGUCUCAUGCCCACCAGCUCACAGUGGCGGAAGCUAUGGACACGUGGAUGGGGAGGGGAGGUUUGUGGGGUGUGCUCACAUAGUUCUUCUCCAUUUGAGAGAAGCCCACUGUAGGAAAGGCCCCAGUCUGAGGCAGUCACAGGCCCGAGUUCGGGCACCUUGGGAAAGUGUGUCCUCACACUCUACUGACCUGCCAGGGCCAGCGUGGCCAGUCCUCUGUCCUCAGGCUUCUGGUCCCAUGAUGGUCACUAGGUGUCCAGAGCAGGAGGACAAAAGGAUUUUGAGGUCAUUUGGACACACUCACCAAGACCAUUGCUGGUCCAUGAAGCUCUCACUGUCCUAGCUGAAGGGCAACAUCUCCUCUGCUGGAAGCUGAGGAUACUGCCUUAUGGUGCGGAUGCUGCAUAUGCGAUGUCACACACGAAGCCUGCCUCACUUCUUGAGAGGGUCUGUGGCUUCAGUCCCUCUGAAGGAUGCAGGAUGGAGAGCCCUGCAUCUAGGGCUGAUCCCAGAAAUGAGUUCCAGGGGUCUAUGCUGAGGCUGCUGGUCCUGCUAGAGGUGAUGUGGCCUCUCCCUUGACCGGCUGCAAUUGCUUGGGGAAAAAGGCACACACCAGGUCAGGAGCGGUUCUUAUCCUAGUGAGGCUGACCCCAGAGCUUCUAGGCCUCGAGGAUGCACUGAUGGGCCCAGCAUGGUGCUGACAGGUGGACAGGCAGAGGCUUGCCUUCCUGGGGCUUACCACCUGGAGCAUGGCAUUUGCACAUUCUCUGUGAAGAGCCAGAUAGUAAGCAUUUCCUACCUUGUGGGCUGUGGGUCUCUGUCCUAACUAGCCAUGUGGUCACUGUAGCUGUAGGUGGAUGCCUUGGUGUUCCGAUAAAACCUCACGUUUUUGGUCAGAUUUUGCAAUUUCUUACUACCCAGAUUUUCCCUCUGAGCCUCUGAAGGAUGGGAACAUGUUCUUGCUCCUUUUCUUUUUCCCAGAGCCUAGCAUGGGGCCUUACUCAGUUUACACCCCCCAGUCAUUUCAAGAAGACGCUGGGGGCUCCAGUUAUGCUGACAGUUCACACACUGGGCCGCCCUUGAAGGGCCUAAGUGCUGCCCACUGAGGUGCACACCUCUCACAGCGGAUACUGGCGCUGGGGCACUUUCUAGUUCAUUCUGUUGUCUUUUCUAUUCCCUCCUUUCCUUCCCUUUCUCCCUUUUCUUCUUCUUUCUCCUCUCACCUAUUUUCCUAAACAUUUAUUAGGCACUUUCUGUGUACAGACACUAUGCUUGGCUCUAGAGACACAAAGAACAGUCAAGACAUAAGGUUGGUCCACAAGGGGCUUCGAUGAAGGGAGAAGAGGCCUGUUCUGCCUCAGGAUGCUGAGCUGUGGGCACAUGGGCCCAGGCCUUGCCUCUCCCCCAAAGCAGGGAGUGGGCAUUAGCUUCCAGUGGCUGCCUCAGCCUCUGAGCCACGGGUUAAAUCUGAGGCUGUUCUGCAAGGGCGCGGGCCUGGCUGGUGUUGUUUCUAGGCAGAGGCUGGAACCUGUGUCUCUUGUUUUGAUAAAGCUUUGCUGUCAGAGUUUGAGCAAUAGGUGUGGAUAUCUUGAAGCAAGAUAGUGGCCAAGUCCUCAUCUAGGAAGCAGAGAGCUAAGCUGAAGAGGAAAUUUGCAACCAAGGGAAACAACCAGCAGGGACCAGAUCAGAAAAAGGUGGAAAAACAUAACCCAGAGGCACACUUUGCUUUGUUUAGAACACAUUUUCCUGUGAACCCCAAAAGCUGUGCCAGGUGUGUGAUGAGCAGCCGUGGACGGCGGAGCCCACCUGGGGCCUGCUUCCCACUCCCUCCCUGCUCUGCUCUCAGGUGUCAUCUUGGAGCUGGCGCUGCCAGGUCACAUGGUCCUGUGCACCCUGUACUGUUGGAGGUUAGCACGUGUCCAGCCCACUUUACCCAGGAUCUCUCAAUGGCCGUGAAGCCUUCUGCACUGUCCCGUUAAUCCUCAGGUGCUCUCUGGUUCUGGCCUCAUUGAGAGGCCACGGGUUCAUUUCUCCUAAGAUGUCUUCCAGCCAGUGUAUUCUCUGACCUGGGGCUUGGUCUCAAGGCCUCCGGCUCACAGAGACCUAGCCGGGGACAGCCCUGGCUCUGGGCAAGGACAGGAGAGAACCCCAGAGGCAUGCACACAGUUUUUGGGUAUGUGGGUGCCAGCUGAGGUCCCAGCCGGGUUUCCUAGGAAGUCCAAGUAUCACAUCCCACACCUUGGGUGGAAGGGAAAGAGGACAGAGGUGGGUCAGUUGGGUGAGGGGCUCCCAGGGACCCAGGUCCAGAGGGUGAGUGGACUUUUAUCCCUUUCAGGGACUGGAGGAUCAAAGUGCAAAAGAUCCCAAAACUUCCUGUCACCAUACCUCACUAAUUAGGCAACUCCUGGCAAUUCGACUUUGGACUUUGCUCUUGAAAAGAAAAUCCUGGUAGAUCCAGGAACUCGGCAAGAUGUCAGCGUUUGCUCAGGGGUUGAGGUCCCCUGAACCAUCUAGGUCACCUGCCCCAGACUGGUGGUUAGUCAUGGCCUGAUAAUAACAAGAGAGUACGUCAAGCUUCACGUGUGCUUUGGCAUUCAGUGCUCAUAUCUGUGUGUCUUGCCGUGACCUCGAGGAUGAGCAACGGUGGCCUACUAGGUGCUCACCUUCGAGCACCUGCUGCCCUCCUGCCCCUGUUCCAUGCACGGUCGACGCAUCUUCUCUCUCAAUGCUCACUGUAGCCGUGAGUGAUGCAGCUGUCACAUCAGGAGUGGACCAGGCUCCCGCAGGAUGGGGAACAGGCCUGCCCACAGGUCUCAGGGGGCCACCAUCUUCCCAGGCCAUGGAACAGGGAGAGACCAGGUUAUCUGGCACCUGGACUCCCAUCUGGAGCUUGAUGCAAGUGCCCCCAGCAGAGGUAGAAGGUGAAAGGAGCUGGCCUCAGAUGGCCCCUGUGACCACUGCCUUGUUGCCCACCCAGUGUUGCUCUCUCUUGGGAAGAUGGUGUCACCUACCUUGGCCCCAGUCUGUGGGUUCAGGGUGAAGACCCCUGUGUAUCCAGCUGCUCAGCUGAGAGGACUGUUAUGAACAGGGUGCAGGGCAGGAGGGGGCAGGGACCUCUUCCAGGGCUGCUGCAGGCCCCGCUGUGCUGGAGAAACUGGAGAGGACCGUGGCUCCAGGAGCAGACAAACCCUGGACAAGGCAAGCCCAGGAGCAGGAGCCUGUCUGCCCGAGAGCCAGCAAGGCCCCCUGACUUCAUCCUGGUGCUUUGUGAGUGUCUGCCGGCAAAUCCUGGGUGAUGGAGAGUGAUCCUGCUCCUUAUGGAGAGCAAAGACUCCAAAGCAGCACUGUCCAGGAGCAAGAUCCUGAGCUCCAUCAUGGUCUACUGCCUGGCAACUUCAACCGUAUCCCUGAUUCUCUCCUUGCUGGCCAGCUUUGCCCCAGUGGCUCCCCUCCUGCAAAUAGGGCAAAAGGCAUGGAGAUGAGACCAGAGUGUCCGGCUCUGGGGGUUUGAUGGACCGAGACAGACAAGUGAGCGUACAAGCAAACAUUUUGAAAACGAGCGCAUGAGUCAAUGGUCAGGACUGGUGCACGUUGAUUGGGGUGGAUGUAACUGAAGGGUCACUAGUAGGAUUUCCACAGCCAGCUGGCUCAGGGCCUCUCUGGUCACCCUGGGAAAGCCUUACUUUUUGAAAGGUUCCAGUCCUCUCUCAGUGAAAACACACGGGUGUGACAACACCCAUGGUUCCCUGACCUCCACAGACUGAGGUCUGAGCCCAUUGAAAUCAGGUGUCUGAAGUCACGCAGAAUGGCUUUCAGUGGUGCUGUGAGCCGACCGUUUCAGGGUACUCCUUCCUCCGAUUUCACAGAUGUGUCGGUUGGAUUUUAUUCUUAAGUGGCCUAAGCCAAAAGCAUCUUCUCCCAGAAACAGCAGGUUCAUUUCAAUUCAAUAUUUCACUUUGGACAACUGCUUGCCUUCAUUUAGCGCCGCAUGCUGGGACUUGGUCUCCCCGGGCGUUCUGGCUUCCCUCCCGUUAGCGACGGUGGCAGCAGUGCAGACAGAUUGAGGCCCCAGGAAGGCGGACCCCCCAACUGCGCGGCAGCAGUGAGCUGGGAGCAGAGGCUGUGCACGCUAAUGGUUGUGAGUGCUGCUUUUCCAGCCAUGAGCUGUCUAUAUCGCAUUUGCGUGGAGACACAAAACAUCUAACUAUCAGACGAAGCCAGACGCAACACCCAGCACAGAGAGGACAGCGUCUUCUCCAGCUGUGUCUGGUGCCCGGGGUCACCGAGGGGAAAAAUGACAAUGCCUUGUGUGCUGGGUGGUGGGUGGCUACAGGAUUUAGAGAAGUCUCUCUCACUACCCCAGGCAAAAAACCUUCGUUGUCCUCUGCCUGGGUAGAUUACUCCUGCAGACACUGGUCUGAGUCUAGGCUGAGCCCAGUCUGCCCUGCAGGGCUUCUCUGGUACUGGGGGUUGCAAAUGUGGAAUUCUGGGGGCAGCUCUCCAGGCCCAUGUGGAAAGAAGUGCUGAGACAGAACACAGAGGGCCCUGGAGGCCCGGGGCUGCAGCGCAGGGCUGGCCUCCGGCUUUUGUAGGUGAGGAGGGCCAUCCUCCUGCAGCACAGGUGUGCAGUGGUCUUGGGGCCGGGCAGGUGGGCUUGUUUGCUCUGCUGCUUCCUGUGGACAGUGUCCAUGGCUCUGGGAGGCUCUCUGCCAUCACAGGUCAGGUUGAGCGGCUUCCAGCUCAGGGUAUCUGGGUGUACGUGCCUCCUGAAAAGCCUUCUCUCCCUGGACUGGGAGCAGCUUCUUCUGCCCAGCAAAGGAAGUAGGUGAGAGGGAGGAAGACCCCUAUGUGUGGCUGGUGGCAGUGGCUCAGAGCCACAUGGGGCAGGGGAGACCCUGCUCUUACUGAUCUCCUCCUUGGAGGGAAGGUAUUAGGGCAUCAAGAACAUUCUUGCUGCUCAGACAGAGUCCUCUGGAGAAGGCGGCCCAGGUGGGUUAGGGUUAGGCACUUCUGUACUCUGGAGAUGGGAGCCUCGUCUGUGAUAGUUCUGACUAGGCUGCCUGUCACAUCUGCACAAUGGGAAGCUGGGCCAGAGGGUUUUACGGUCCACACUGAACUUGAGGUUCUGGGAGGGCAGUCAGAGUUUAGUUACAAUCUUUGUUUUCCAGGAGACCCAAGUUCAAGUCCCAUUCCCCAGUUUCUUGUUGCUGUGCAGCCUAGGACAAGCCACUCCCCUCUCUGUACUGUCCUCCCAGCACAGGUGGUUGGUAUGAGGAGCAGUCUGGCUCACAGGGCUUGUCCUGGACAGUGGUUUCUUUCCCUACAUCUCCUUUGAGUUGGCAGAGGCCCACAGACAACCAACCCCAUCUCCGGAGCAUAGACCUUGUCUACCGCAUAGCCAAGUUUCCCAUGCACUCCAGAUUUGAGGACGGCCAGCUGCCGUGUAAUUCAAAUGAGAGCCCUGUUGCCCUUUGAGGACAAGCCUCAUGUAAGGUCCACCUGUCACCUGAGUCUCUGUGGCCCAGCUCAGUGCAUGGCCUCUGCUAGUGCUGAGACACCAGAUGCCUAUAGCCUCAUGUCUGCCCUGCAAGGGGUGCUAGCCUAUCCAGGGGCCACAGGGCUGGGUUUUCGACCAGCUCAUGUGGUGCUGGCUUGUCUGCAUGUGUCAGUGCUGAAGCCCUGUGAAGAACCCUCUCCUGCCCCUUCGAUGCCUGCCCCAGUCUCCAGAUAAGAUGGGAAGGGAAGUGGACGAGGGACUCCAUUCAGCCUGACCUCAGUUAACAUUUCAGCUCUGCCAGGCAUCAGCUGUGCAUCACAAGAGAGGUCACUGAGCUCCUGAGUCCCAGCUUCUGGUCUGUAAAAGCGGGUGCUGAUUCCCUUGGCAGGAGGGGUGUGAACAGCAAAGGCUGCCAAGUCUCUGCACAUGGGAGGCAUCGGCAGAAACAUUUCUGUUGUUCAGAGCAAGGUACUUGUGCCCUGGACCAGCGUCAUCAGCAUCACCUGGGAACUUGUGAGCAAGGGAAUUGUCAGACCCUCUCCCCAUGUGCUGAGUUGGAACCAAAGAGAUGGGGUGACGCCAUGGAUCUGACUGUUCACAGCCCUGCAAGUUCUACAGCAUGGUAAGGCCAGAGACCUCGGACUUGGAGAUAUGUUGCAAACUUCUUCUUCCAUGGUAUUUCCUUGCCUGGUUCUGCUUCCUUCCUCCGAAUGGGACUUGGGAGAGACUCCGAACUUGGGAGGGCAGUGAGUCUGGGCUGGAUCUGUCAGCUGGGCUUGGAUAAUGUUUGCUGGAUUGGAGGCAAGAGAAAGGGCAGUAGGACCCUUGGGUCCUGUCCUCCCCUGGGUGCAGACAAGGGCCUCUUAUCUGUGCCUGUCUGGGAGGGCUGCCCCUCCUCAUUCCCUGGACAGGAGUGUGCGGCUCCUGUGCAGUCUGUCUCCCCCUGCUGCCUGUCACCUGGGCACACUAAGGAGACACGAUUGUGGAGGCAUGCAGUGGGUGCUUGAACCCUUUGUGGGACAUGAGAGGAUGGGCACUCUGUAGAGUACUACAGAGCACUUCUGGGAGAAGCACAAGGGGACAGAGAGUGGUGAUUCAGAUGCAGGCCCAGCCUGGGGGCACUUGAGCUGUAGCCAUCCCAGGUGUCCAUCAAUUCCACAUGUGGGCAGCAAGCCAGGUGCUUUGAAUGCAGAGUUAAUAAUUAGGUAAAAUCAAACGGUCUAUUCUUGAAUACGAAACAGAGCAGCAUAAUGAACUUGUAAAACCUUUUAGAUUCUUUUCAGCAUGGUGACAAGUUUUUUUAAGUUGUUUUGAAGCUUCUUUUCUCGUGUGGUUUUUAUUAUGGUAAAAUAUACAUAACAUAAAAUUUACCCUUUUAACUAUUUUUACGUACAUAGGUCUGGGACAUUAAGCACACUCAUGUAGUUCUGCAAACGUCACCACCAUCCGUCUCCGGAACUUUUCCAUCUUCCCAAAAUGAAAUUCGGUCCCCAUUAAACACUAGCUCCUGUCCUUCCCUCUCCUUGGCCCCUGACGGCCACUUAUUCCAUUAAAGCCCUGACUGAGAUAAAAGGAGGUGGUGGGAGGUUCUAAGAAACCCCUCCUUCAAGAGUAUACUUAAGAACCCAGUUUUCUUGAGGCAGGACCUCUGCUUGACCUCCAGACGUGAGCACAGCACAGAGGUAUAGACGUAGGCGGGAACGUUGGGCCCCUUUGGAAUAGUUGCACAUGCUUUAUUUUGCCCUUGAUGAAAAGAGCCGUGUUAAGUUUAUAAAAGAGCACUUGCAGAAGAAGAAAGCCUUGGACCCAGCCAUGGCCUUCCUGAGUUGUUGACAGCUGUUAUUCACUGAAAACCUCCCUGGAAACAAAGAGAUAUUGCAGCAUUGUUCAGCGUGGGUGUUUGAAGUGGCCUCCUUCCAGAGCUCUGCUGAUGGAGGGGCCGGGUCUGGGCCAGGGCCUCGUGCCUCCUGCUUUCUUCCUAUAGCUGCUGCAGCUUCGAAGGAGCCUGGGAGUGUCCUGAAGCAGUCCAACUUGCAGGCAGUCCUUUCUUCCACGUGCCUGUGACUUCCUGAUGCUCUACUACUCCCUUCACAGGGCUGUGCUGCUUUGGCAGAGAAGCAAAGAUGACAGGCACCUUCAGGACCCCUGCUUGUCGAUGUCCCUGGGAUAUCACCUGAGUGCUAGGGUAGGAAGAAUCUGGGGCACUUAAGAAAAACGGAAAGUGGCCAUUUUUUUCCCCAGGAAGGGAGGUACCCACGUCCACAUCCUGCAUCUUCCUCUUUGUGAAAUCCAUGCUGCGGGCCGGCCCUGGAUGCUGUCUGCAGGCCUGUCCCCGCUGGGUGCUGACAGCGUGGGCCCCUGUGCCUUGCUGAGUCAUCUCGGGCUCACUUUUCCCACCAGUGCAACGGGGUUAAUGACGCCUGCCCCGGCUGGGGACUCAAACGAGAAAACCUAGGUGAAAGUGACUUGAAACUCAGAAAGUGCCUUCCACGUGGCCUGUGGUGGCCUUGUGGCGGGCAUCCCUCUGGGGGAGACCUGCGGAGCGGGUUUGGCAGGGCCUCCGGAUGGGGUCUCUGGGGGGGGGAGCCCCUCCAUCCCCCGGCUCACUCACCUCCAUCCCCCCCACUCACCUCCCACGGGUAUGAUCAUUUCCUACGUGGGCCCUGACAAUGGAGGGGAAGCCCUUUGGAGAGGUCCGUCCGGGUAAGAGCAGGUGAGGCAGGUCCUGGACGGGGCUCCCAACUCACCCUGUGCUGUCACUGGCUUGGUGACACUUCCUCUGGGAGUUCUCCCAGGGGCAGACCACCUGUGCUGGGAGUGCUGGUUGAGCUGUCUCCCUGUAGACAUCUACCUUUAGCCCAGGUCCUGGAACAUGGGAGGUCUUCAACUAGCAGUGAGCACCCUAACAAAUAUCCUCAUGGAACAUCAGUCAUCGUACCUAUUUAUAAUUAUUUACUUCUUUAAGAUUAGUUGAAGAAUAAGUUUUGGGGAGGAAAAAAAAACAUGCCGCAAAAGUAGCAUCAUCAACAGUCUGGUUUCUCAACGUGCCACUGGUAGCUGGGUGGGCCCAGAGCCUGGUAGAAACACUGGUUCAGACCUGAUCCAGACUGGCUGAGUCAGCAUUUACUUUUCGGGUGUCUUCAGGGCCCUUGCAGAUGAGGGAGAGAAGCUCGUGCAGGAUGCUCUUCCCAGACCUGGGAGCAGCGGAGCUUGUGGAUUCUCACCUCUGGGGAGACUCCCAGCCACAAAGCCAGGGAUUUCCCAGCUCUGGUGGGGGGGUGCUGCCAAAAGGGGACACACAUGCUCACGGCUCUGGGGGUGGCUAGGGACCCCUCCUUCACUCCUGCAGCGUGUAGGCCAGUGGCCUAGGAGGAGUGAGAACAACCCGCUGCCUUGGCUUUCUCUGGCCCCCUUGUCCUCGAGGGACCCUGGCUGACUAACACCUUUGCCCUGCCCAGGCGGAGAUUUUGGUGCCCCAUACAGGGAGAUGUGCUAAGAGGCGACUUUGGCCUCAAUUAGUCCCAGGCUCCAGAUAAGAGGAUUCCAGAUCCUUACCCAUGCAGGCAACUGCAGCCCUCCUAGUCUCCCUUAGACGUACCUGCCUUCUCUCCUGCUCCUGGGAACAGCCCUUGCACUCCAGUCUUGGGUGGAUUGUGAUUCUGCACUAUUAUUUUACCAUGAGCUGAGGUCGGGAGAAGACUACUAUUCCAAGUCUGGGCCCAGCUAGCCAUUUAUUCCAUCAGUCCUUUUUGAGCACCUACUGUGUGCCAGGUGCUCAGCUGGGCACUGAAGACACAGCAGUCACCACCCUGGCCCUCAUUCUCCAGGAAGACACUGGCAAAUGAUGGUUAAGAAGCCAAAAUCAGCAUUUUGCUCAUCAGCUGCGUGACCUCUGGAACCUCUCAGGGUCUCGAUUUCUUCAGAUUUAAAAUGGCAAUGGACAGGUGGUUUCCCUGAGAGGGUUUCUGUGAGGAGGAAGUGCGUUAAUGCACAGUGCCUGGCGAUACUUAUGCAGACAGGAAGGGGGCUGCUCAGGGACCAAGUGCUAAGUGUGAGCAACCCUCUGGGUCUCCUGCUAUAUUCUAAAACCCAUUUGAAUGCUGGCAGACUGUCCUUCAGCUGUCCUUUGGCACUCAGGGCCUGAGACCCCAGCUUCCCAUCUGCUCAGAGGGGAAUUUAGUCUCCUCCUCAGGUGGGAGUGAAGACUGACCGAGCCAUGUAGACAGGUGUGUGGUGGUGCUCAGAUCAGGGGUCCUGUCCUCCUCAGCUCUUGGGGAGGAUCUCCAUGUCUGAACUGGUUUCUCUAAUCCUUGAUUUAUUGCCGUGACGGUGUUUGUUCUUUGUGAGUCCUUCUGCUUCAGCUUUGUGAUGAAUAAAUCCUUGAUCACAGUCAAUUCCUCAAA